This 70-nucleotide transfer RNA is filed under the name Anentome sp. YY-2021. RNAcentral describes it as "tRNA-Leu". It matches the Rfam family "tRNA". From Rfam's summary of the family: Transfer RNA (tRNA) molecules are approximately 80 nucleotides in length. Their secondary structure includes four short double-helical elements and three loops (D, anti-codon, and T loops). Further hydrogen bonds mediate the characteristic L-shaped molecular structure. tRNAs have two regions of fundamental functional importance: the anti-codon, which is responsible for specific mRNA codon recognition, and the 3' end, to which the tRNAs corresponding amino acid is attached (by aminoacyl-tRNA synthetases). tRNAs cope with the degeneracy of the genetic code in two manners: having more than one tRNA (with a specific anti-codon) for a particular amino acid; and 'wobble' base-pairing, i.e. permitting non-standard base-pairing at the 3rd anti-codon position. The record is from RNAcentral. Lineage: Eukaryota; Metazoa; Mollusca; Gastropoda; Neogastropoda; Nassariidae.
UAUCAAAUUAGCAGAGCAAUGCAAUUGACUUAGGAUCAAUAGACAUAGGUGAAAUUCCUUUAUUUGAUAU